AGGUAGGGUUAAUAUUCGGUGAUCAAUAGCUCUUUUUGGAGGUAAUUUCUUCGGUGUCUCAAAUAUCUCCGCAUAAUACUUGAGCAGGGAUCGGAUCAUAGAUAUUUCCUCCUCAUCUCCUUUUAAUCUUGUCCCCAGUUCAUAUUCAUUCUCUACUUCCAUCUCAUAAUUCUGGAAUUCUAAGAGGAAGCCUUGGUCUUCUAUAUGUAAGGAUUCAACUUGCUUACUUCACUAUUUCUCCCUUACAAUGGCCAAAAACAGAGGUAGCCCUCUGCUAUCUUUAUUUAUAUAUAGCCAAAAUGAGUACAGAAAAACAUAAAGAUUCAAGAAAAACAAGGAAUAAUAAAGACAAACCCAGCUUCCUCUAGGGAAAGACUGGAUAUUCCUCUAGGCUAAGCAGCCGCCAACUUCAGGAUAAAAAUAAAACCUACCUCCCCUAGACCUAAAAAACCUAUUUAUAUUCCUUCUCUCAUCUUUCUCUUAUUUCUGUGCCUGGGCCCCACCUGCACGAUCUCCUCCUCUUUUUCCUUCCUCAUUAUUAAUUUGUCCAAUUACUUUUCUGCC
This 564-nucleotide long non-coding RNA is filed under the name Cucumis sativus (cucumber). RNAcentral describes it as "long non-coding RNA (CSAT_LNC000189)". Lineage: Eukaryota; Viridiplantae; Streptophyta; Magnoliopsida; Cucurbitales; Cucurbitaceae. The record is from RNAcentral.